CGUCAAAACUCUCCCCCAUCCUUUCCUUCCUUCUUUCCUUUUCCCUCCUUUUCUCCCAGAGCCUAUAUUCCUCCAGAUUCCCAAUCUCUCUCCCUCUCUCUCUCUCUCUCUCUCUCUCAUAUAGAAUAAUCUUUUCCGUCCUCUCUGUCCAAUGGCGGAAACCUCUGCCCUCUGUUGCUCGCGCUUCUCUUCAAUCCCUUCCAUUUCUCGCUCCUGGGAUUCCAAUUCCUUCCUCUCCACUUCACCUCCCUCUUUUCCCUCUCCUUGUUCUAACUUCUCUUUUUCCCUUUCUCGCUCUUCUCGCUCCUUUCGCUUUACCUCCAAGGCUUCUGAUUCCGGUAACUUCCUCGGCGACGAUUCUCUCGGUUCCUUCCCCUGGUCCGACGGUGUUAAUGCUAUUGAAUGGAUUCAGGAGGAUAAAGUCACGCUGUUCACUGCUGAUGGGCUUGUUCAAAUUGGAGGCUCUUUGGUUCCUCGGCAAGUCAGUUCUUCAGAUAAGAAGCAAGGUUGGUCAAAAACUUCUCAGAGAUUUCAACGAUUUCAAGAGAGUGAUUAUAUGGACCCAAAUCAGGGCUUAUGUUUGGGAGCACUGUUUGAUAUUGCAGCAACAAAUGGACUUGAUAUGGGCAGAAGGCUCUGUAUCUUUGGGUUUUGUCGUUCAGUUGAGAUGCUAAGUGAUAUUGUCGAAGACACUGUUUUGGAGCAUGGUGGGGAGGUUGUUGCUGCAGAGAAGGCAAUCAAAGGUGGUUUGCAUGAAAAGCUAACAAUGACAGUGGCAGUACCAUAUCUUUGGGCUCCUGCUUCAGAAACACUUCGCCUUGCAGUUCGGAGUGGUGGAGGGAUUGUGGAGAAAGUUUAUUGGCAAUGGGAUUUUUUGUAAAUGAAUUGUCAAAUCGUCCUAACCAUCAUUUGUGCAUUGUGUACAUAUAAUGAUCCUGUUCCCAUGUACAAAAUUCAAGAUGUACCAUUCGUGUCCAGUGAUAACUUGAUGUUAGUAUCUAAUCGAUUAUUUCCAACAGUAUGUCCCACUGGCUGUGUUAAAUUUACACUGUUUUAGUGCAUGAACAUUUAAGUUUGAUGUUGCAACUAAAUUCAUGAUACCAAAGCCUCUCUCUCUUACCAUGUAUUGUGAUCAUGGUGUAAUUCGAUUUUGGUAUAUAACAAAAU
RNAcentral lists this unclassified non-coding RNA (1167 nucleotides) under Hevea brasiliensis (rubber tree). Lineage: Eukaryota; Viridiplantae; Streptophyta; Magnoliopsida; Malpighiales; Euphorbiaceae. The record is from RNAcentral.